AGUGAACGCUGGCGGUAGGCCUAACACAUGCAAGUCGAACGGCAGCACAGUAAGAGCUUGCUCUUACGGGUGGCGAGUGGCGGACGGGUGAGGAAUACAUCGGAAUCUACUUUUUCGUGGGGGAUAACGUAGGGAAACUUACGCUAAUACCGCAUACGACCUACGGGUGAAAGCAGGGGAUCUUCGGACCUUGCGCGAAUGAAUGAGCCGAUGUCGGAUUAGCUAGUUGGCGGGGUAAAGGCCCACCAAGGCGACGAUCCGUAGCUGGUCUGAGAGGAUGAUCAGCCACACUGGAACUGAGACCCGGUCCAGACUCCUACGGGAGGCAGAGGUGGGGAAUAUUGGACAAUGGGCGCAAGCCUGAUCCAGCCAUACCGCGUGGGUGAAGAAGGCCUUCGGGUUGUAAAGCCCUUUUGUUGGGAAAGAAAAGCAGCAGGUUAAUACCCCGCUGUUCUGACGGUACCCAAAGAAUAAGCACCGGCUAACUUCGUG
RNAcentral lists this ribosomal RNA (492 nucleotides) under uncultured bacterium. Its description in RNAcentral is "partial 16S ribosomal RNA". It matches the Rfam family "Bacterial small subunit ribosomal RNA", at positions 29 to 507 of the family's 1533-position model. The record is from RNAcentral.